AAUAAUUUAUUGGGAAAAAAUAAAAAGAUAACAUACCACCAGGAGAUAAACUAGGAUGUGCAGGCAGAUGCAAAUGAUUGGCCUAAAGUUUGAUCCAUAAAAAUAUUGUUUUGGCCUUUAGAAGAUCUCCUGUUUCUGUUGUGAUGAUUAGCCGACUAAAGUCUCAUCUUUUGCUCGUUUUUGGAUUUCUUUUCGACUGUAGCAAAUUGGAAACAAGAGUCACUAAUUUUAGAAAAACUCUAAAUGCAACUGUCUUAUAUCCCCGUUGCGCCCUUGGUGCCUAUGUGGCAUAAAAAUAAAACGACGCCGUUCAAUUUUCCCUCAUCCCCUCGCACAAUUUUCCCUUCCCUUCUCUUCCCCCGCAUCUCUGUCUUCUCUCAUCUCUCUCCUCUCAUCCCUCCCAUCUCACAUGAACCCUAACUUUCCUUUCCUCUUCUCCCGCAUCACUGCCUUCUCCAUUCAAUUUUCUCAUCCCCUCGCAUACAAUUUUCCCUUCCCUUCCCCUGCAUUUCUAUCUUCUCUCAUCCCUCUCAUCUCACAUGAACCCUAACUUUCCUCUUCCCCCGCAUCCCUGCCUUCUUUUUCUCCUCUCAUUCUUUCUAUAACCCACACGAACCCUAAUCCAGAGAACUCAGGAAACCCACACGAGCCCAGAGAACCCUCGAACCGUUCUGUCUUCUCCCCGUUGUCCUCCCUCUCCCCCAAACUUCCAUCCCUGUCGUCUUCAACCCGGAGGCCUCGACGGGACAUGAACCCACUUCUCUCUGUUCAAAAACCCAGGGCUUACCAUACUAUAAGUUUUUCAAGUGGUUGGAUGCUAAUGAAGUGAUUGAGAUACAAGUUCAAUAAAGAAUUAAUGAAUUGUUAAAGAAAGAAGAAAGAGAAAGAUGUCGAGAAGAUACUUAAGCUGCUCGAAAAGAGAGAGAUUGAGCUCUGUAAGAUAGUGGAUCGCCUCAAGAGGGUGCAGAUGGUGCUGUCCAAUAAAAGCGACAUGGUUAUGCAAAAGGAAUUCGUGCUUAACGCACAAGAAGCUAAAAGAAGGUGUUUAGGCACACUACUUUGGAUUUAUUAUUGUUUCAUUUGUACAUGCAUUUUACAUAGUGUUAUAUAAGUAAUUUGAUAUUGUUGUUAGUAGUUAUGUGUUUAGGUAUUGGACUUGUGCAUUUGUAUUAGCCGUUGAACAGUUUGGAGUUAUUUUGGUGGUUAUGCAAAGUUAUUUUGUGGAAUAUGAUCCAAGUUAUGUAAAUAUGGCAACUCUUGUUAGAGUUUAGAGUUAAAUGUAUUAAUUUGUUAUUCCCAUGUAUGAUCCAAGUUAUGUAAAUGCAUUAAUUUGUUAUUCUUCAAUUUUA
This is a long non-coding RNA of Carya illinoinensis, 1349 nucleotides long. RefSeq lists it as uncharacterized. Lineage: Eukaryota; Viridiplantae; Streptophyta; Magnoliopsida; Fagales; Juglandaceae. The record is from RefSeq and is a predicted model, not a curated record. The transcript is spliced from 2 exons.